CUACGUGCCAGCAGCUGCGGUAAUACGUAGGGCGCGAGCGUUGUCCGGAAUUAUUGGGCGUAAAGGGCUUGUAGGCGGUUGGUCGCGUCUGCCGUGAAAUCCUCUGGCUUAACUGGGGGCGUGCGGUGGGUACGGGCUGACUUGAGUGCGGUAGGGGAGACUGGAACUCCUGGUGUAGCGGUGGAAUGCGCAGAUAUCAGGAAGAACACCGGUGGCGAAGGCGGGUCUCUGGGCCGUUACUGACGCUGAGGAGCGAAAGCGUGGGGAGCGAACAGGAUUAGAUACCCUGGUAGUCCACGCUGUAAACGUUGGGCACUAGGUGUGGGGGCCACCCGUGGUUUCUGCGCCGUAGCUAACGCUUUAAGUGCCCCGCCUGGGGAGUACGGCCGCAAGGCUAAAACUCAAAGGAAUUGACGGGGGCCCGCACAAGCGGCGGAGCAUGCGGAUUAAUUCGAUGCAACGCGAAGAACCUUACCAAGGCUUGACAUGC
This 490-nucleotide ribosomal RNA is filed under the name uncultured bacterium. RNAcentral describes it as "bacterial SSU rRNA". It matches the Rfam family "Bacterial small subunit ribosomal RNA", at positions 501 to 989 of the family's 1533-position model. The record is from RNAcentral.